CUGGGUCGAGGCAGUUCUGAGCACAGUACACUGGGCUGCCCCCACUGCCCAGUGCCCUGCUCAGCUCAAGUCCUUGUGCCCCUC
Homo sapiens (human) is the source of this 84-nucleotide microRNA precursor. The record is from Ensembl. Lineage: Eukaryota; Metazoa; Chordata; Mammalia; Primates; Hominidae.